Molecule: ribosomal RNA, 460 nt
Filed under: uncultured bacterium
Lineage: Bacteria
Description: partial 16S ribosomal RNA
Rfam family: Bacterial small subunit ribosomal RNA
Source: RNAcentral
CCUACGGGCGGCAGCAGUGAGGAAUAUUGGUCAAUGGGCGCGAGCCUGAACCAGCCAAGUAGCGUGAAGGAUGACUGCCCCACGGGUUGUAAACUUCUUUUAUAAAGGAAUAAAGUGAGGACCGUGGGCCUUUUUGUUUGUACUUUAUGAUUAAGGAUCGGCUAACUCCGUGCCAGCAGCCGCGGUAAUACGGAGGAUCCGAGCGUUAUCCGGAUUUUUUGGGUUUAAAGGGAGCGUAGAUGGGUUGUUAAGUCAGUUGUGAAAGUUUGCGGCUCAACCACAAAAUUGCAAUUGAUACUGGCAGCCUUGAGUACAGUUGAGGUAGGCGGAAUUCGUGGUGUAGCGGUGAAAUGCUUAGAUAUCACGAAGAACUCCGAUUGCGAAGGCAGCCUACUAAACUGCCACUGACAUUGAUGCUCGAAAGUGUGGGUAUCAAACAGGAUUAGAUACCCCAGUAGUC